UUAAAUUGAAGAGUUUGAUCAUGGCUCAGAUUGAACGCUGGCGGCAGGCCUAACACAUGCAAGUCGAACGGUAACAGGAAACAGCUUGCUGUUUCGCUGACGAGUGGCGGACGGGUGAGUAAUGU
Molecule: ribosomal RNA, 125 nt
Filed under: Escherichia coli
Lineage: Bacteria; Pseudomonadati; Pseudomonadota; Gammaproteobacteria; Enterobacterales; Enterobacteriaceae
Description: partial 16S ribosomal RNA
Rfam family: Bacterial small subunit ribosomal RNA
Source: RNAcentral